This 23-nucleotide non-coding RNA is filed under the name Arabidopsis thaliana (thale cress). Lineage: Eukaryota; Viridiplantae; Streptophyta; Magnoliopsida; Brassicales; Brassicaceae. The record is from RNAcentral.
AUGUGGACCCUACACUAUUCCUA